ACUCUGAUCCAGCCAUGCCGCGUGCAGUGAUGACUGCCCUAUGGGUUGUAAACUGCUCUAUACAGGAGAACACCUCUACGUGUAGAGGCUUGACGGUACUGUAAGAUACGAUCGGCUAACUCCAUG
This 126-nucleotide ribosomal RNA is filed under the name uncultured bacterium. Its description in RNAcentral is "partial 16S ribosomal RNA". The record is from RNAcentral.